This 443-nucleotide ribosomal RNA is filed under the name uncultured bacterium. RNAcentral's name for it is "partial 16S ribosomal RNA". It matches the Rfam family "Bacterial small subunit ribosomal RNA", at positions 338 to 795 of the family's 1533-position model. The record is from RNAcentral.
CCUACGUGGAGCAGCAGUGGGGAAUAUUGGGCAAUGGGCACAAGCCUGACCCAGCAACGCCGCGUGAAGGAAGAAGGCUUUCGGGUUGUAAACUUCUUUUCUCAGGGACGAAGCAAGUGACGGUACCUGAGGAAUAAGCCACGGCUAACUACGUGCCAGCAGCCGCGGUAAUACGUAGGUGGCAAGCGUUAUCCGGAUUUACUGGGUGUAAAGGGCGUGUAGGCGGGAAAGCAAGUCAGAUGUGAAAACCCUGGGCUCAACCCGUGGCCUGCCUUUGAAACUGUUUUUCUUGAGUACUGGAGAGGCAGACGGAAAUCCCAGUGUAGCGGGGUAAUGCGUAGAGAUUAGGAGGAACACCAGUGGCGAAGGCGGUCUGCUGGACAGCAACUGACGCUGAGGCGCGAAAGCGUGGGGAGCAAACAGGAUUAGAUACCCUGGUAGUC